GGCCGUGGCUUGGUGCCCACGGCUGCCCCUGUAUAUAAGGGGCGAAGUGCCCAGAAAGAAAAGAAAAAGAAAAGGAAAAGAAAGAAAAGAAGGAAAGGAAAGAGAGGAAGAAAGGAAAGAAUAGUGGAAGCUAAAGGGUCUUUGAUGGUGGAAAGGAAGAGUAAGGUAUUAAAGUUAAGGUGACAUGUCGUGACCAGCGUGUGGAGUAGGCACGAAGCACUUUUAUUGAUGUAUUUUUUUUAUGUAAAAAUCGGCCUUUUUGGUCAAUACCUUUUGUAAUAAAAAUAGAAACUCCAAUGAUUAUUUUAGUA
Camellia sinensis is the source of this 311-nucleotide non-coding RNA. The record is from RefSeq and is a predicted model, not a curated record. Lineage: Eukaryota; Viridiplantae; Streptophyta; Magnoliopsida; Ericales; Theaceae.